Molecule: long non-coding RNA, 426 nt
Organism: Xenopus laevis (African clawed frog)
Lineage: Eukaryota; Metazoa; Chordata; Amphibia; Anura; Pipidae
Exons: 2
Source: RefSeq, a predicted model, not a curated record
UAGAAUGGGUCCCCUGCCAUUGCACUCCAAAUAUAUCUCUCUCCCACAAUCCUGGGUUUGGUAUCAUUGCCCUCACCCUUGUGCCAUUGCCUCUUAGGUCCUGUAAUGUCUGCAGAUGUUUUCUAGAAGAUCUCUGGAGGCCUCUCCCAGCUGCAGUGCUGACUAUUCCUAGAAGCCUCACAGAAACAUUUGAUGGGCUCCUAUGGGGCCCAAGAACAAGACUGUACCAGAACCAGUAAAUAAGGCAAAGGGCCCAACAGUCCUCAUGAUACAGGUGUGGGAAUAGGGACUUACUGGAGCCUGGGAGUUUGGGUGUUUCCCAGUACAUAAAACACCCGUGAAGAUCAGUGUAUUUUUCCAGGAAGGGAGUAGAGGAAGUCACGGGAGGAUCAGGAAACACAAAUUAGUGCAUUAAAAGAAAUAAUA